UUUCCGUAGGUGAACCUGCGGAAGGAUCAUUAUUGUAUAACCGAGGUGCGAGGGCUGUCGCUGACCCGAAAGGUCGUGCACGCCCGAGUGCCCUCACACACAUCCAUCUCACCCCUAUGUGCACCACCGCGUGGGUCCCCCUUUGGCUUGUUCGGAGGGGGGCUUACGUUUUCACACAAACUUUGUAUGCAGUGUAGAAUGUAUUUUUUGUUUUUGCGAUCACGCAAUCAAUACAACUUUCAACAACGGAUCUCUUGGCUCUCGCAUCGUUGAAGAACGCAGC
This 283-nucleotide unclassified non-coding RNA is filed under the name plant metagenome. RNAcentral's name for it is "partial contains small subunit ribosomal RNA, internal transcribed spacer 1, and 5.8S ribosomal RNA". The stretch from base 235 to 283 matches the Rfam family "5.8S ribosomal RNA", at positions 1 to 49 of the family's 154-position model. The record is from RNAcentral.